GGGUGAGGAAUUCGUCGGAAUCUGCCUUUUUGUGGGGGAUAACGUAGGGAAACUUACGCUAAUACCGCAUACGACCUACGGGUGAAAGUGGGGGACCGCAAGGCCUCACGCAGAAAGAUGAGCCGACGACCGAUUAGCUAGUUGGUAGGGUAAAGGCCUACCAAGGCGACGAUCGGUAGCUGGUCUGAGAGGAUGAUCAGCCACACUGGGACUGAGACACGGCCCAGACUCCUACGGGAGGCAGCAGUGGGGAAUAUUGGACAAUGGGCGCAAGCCUGAUCCAGCCAUGCCGCGUGUGUGAAGAAGGCCUUCGGGUUGUAAAGCACUUUUGUCCGGAAAGAAAUCCUUCAACUUAAUACGUUGGGGGGAUGACGGUACCGGAAGAAUAAGCACCGGCUAACUUCGUGCCAGCAGCCGCGGUAAUACGAAGGGUGCAAGCGUUACUCGGAAUUACUGGGCGUAAAGCGUGCGUAGGCGGUUCGUUAAGUCUGACGUGAAAUCCCCGGGCUCAACCUGGGACGUGCGUUGGAAACUGGCGAUCUAGAGUACGGUAGAGGGUGGUGGAAUUCCCGGUGUA
This 577-nucleotide ribosomal RNA is filed under the name Silanimonas sp. ST3-4. RNAcentral's name for it is "bacterial SSU rRNA". It matches the Rfam family "Bacterial small subunit ribosomal RNA", at positions 104 to 677 of the family's 1533-position model. The record is from RNAcentral. Lineage: Bacteria; Pseudomonadati; Pseudomonadota; Gammaproteobacteria; Lysobacterales; Lysobacteraceae.